GCUGUGCAAGGUGGAUCAGGUCGUUAGAAAAUCUCAAGUCAUGACUAAGAUCAAAAAGGGGUAGCACGUCGAGAGUAAUGAAAACACAACAAAGACCAGAACUGUCAAAACUAUGGAUUGAGUAACCACUCGAGAAAGGGAAAUGGGCUGGGCAUAAAUAAGGCGUGGAGUUGUUGCCGGCUUUUUAUUUGUGGCACUCUCGAACAGAUUGCAGAUCAUGGGUUCCUUCAUUUUUCAAGUCAAAAAAAGUAGGUACUCUUUUGGUGCCAAACAGCCCAGAUGGAGUUUCCUGAUUUCACACCUGUUUUUCUCCACCAUUUUCACACGAUAUAUCUCACAAGGAAGGAAACAAGAUGAAAUGAGAAAAACCACCUCAGCCGUAAGUAUGCGUGUUGGGCAAGAUCCAAUGGUUACUAGCAACCCGAUGCUCAUCUUGAUUAAAGAAGAAUUUGCCGUCAAAUUCUUAAAUGAUCCAGAAGCAGUGUGGGGCAUUAAUUAUCCAAAAAGGCAAUGGACCCUUCCUGCACCCCAAGGCCAGCCCCACACUCUCUUGCAUCGCAUCCAUCCUCUUAAAUUUUUUAGCAAGACAUUAAGACGGUGACAGCUAGCCUACGCCUAAGCCCAGGCCUAUACAAAACUACUGAUAAAUCCUCGAACACGUGGUUGAGUAGUUUAUCCAUCUUUUUUUUGGUGAGAGGAACAGUGAAAAAACAUAAAAAUGUUCCUGAUUACACGAUUCUGAUCCAAUAUUCCAGCUUCGACAGCUAUGUCGGGCAGCCAAAUCAAAGUAAAAAGAACUGAAAGAAGGAACGACUACCUUUCUUACAAAAAACUAAAAUAAAAUGAUUCAUGUUAAUAUUGUUUUUCUUGAUCAUACUAGACUAGCAGGGCGAGAUGGGUUUCUAAUUAAAUUAAGCUUCCUUCCUAGCUACCUCUGCAACGUCAAGUUUUUUGUCUUUUUCUUUUUUUAAAGAAUUAUUAGUCUAUCAAAGAAAAUAAAAGAGAAAAAGACAAGAAAUUGUAUAUAUAGAUUUGCAUGCAUACAUACACACCUUAAUUAGUGUUGUGUAGAGCAGCUGAACUGAGAGAUCUUGUGCAAUAAUGGAGAAAGUCUUAGCUUUAUCUGUUUCUAACUUUACAACUGAAGAAGAUGAAGAAGAAGAAGAAUAUUAUUAUUAUCUAAGUAGUUGAAUACAAGAUUGCCAAGGUAGCGCGCUCAAGUCAAAGUGAAGAUACAAACGACACCAAUCUCUCUCUCUCUAUCUCUCUAAAAAUUCUAAAGGGAAGGAAGAAUAGUGAGAAGGAAGAAGGAGAACGAAAGUCGUUUCAAAAACCAAUAAAAAAAUAUGGCAGAAACGCGGUUCUACACUCUUCAACUCUGUCCUUUGACGGUAAGGAAUCCAAUAUAAAUUUCAGCCCUUUUUUUAUCUCAAUCUGGCAACUUGAGCUCUACAUUCAUAAUCUGAUCAAUUGAGCCCAGAUGGAUUCAAAUGUUACUCGAUUUCAAAGCAAUUGAUACUCACCAUAAAAAGUUAAAAACCAUGGCAAAUCAUUUCCCUUUCAAUUAUAGUCUAAUGGCAAUGAGAGCAGUGUUUUCAGGAGUAUAUAUAUUCUUACCAGAGAAUGGCUUUGGAAGACAAUAAUAUGUAUAGAUCGGAGUGCCUUGCUGGAUGAAUGGAUACAGAGGAAGGCACUACUUGUCUUGUCAUCCAUGAGAGCCUAGAAAUAAAAUUAACUGUUGAUUUCUAUUCUUGCAUUUAUAUUAUAUUUGUUUUUGUAUUUUAAAAAUGUUUUAAAAAAAAUUAAUUUUUUUUAUUUUUUUGUUUUAAAUUAAUAUUUUUAAUGUUUUUAAAUAAUUUUGAUGAGCUGAUAUCAAAAAUAAUUUUAAAAAAUAUUAUUUUGAUAUAUUUUUAAAUAAAAAAUAUUUUAAAAAAUAAUCACAACCAUAUUCUUAAAUAUAUUAAAUAAUAUUUAUGUAGUUCUAUUUAUUAAGGGUAGAAUAAUACUUUCAGUUUAAUCUAUAUAUACUUUAUUUGUAUUUAGGUUAAGACUAAGCAUUCAUAAUAUACAAAUUAUUUAGAAUUCUAAUAUUUUUUUUAUAUUUGAUCUUAAUUAUUUUAAUAUGGUAUCUGAGCUUGUUUUGAAAAUUCAUAAUAUACGUUAUGGGUUUCGAAAAUGCGGUGGAUAAGCGGAAGGCCUUGCAGGAGAUGUUUAGAGUACUGAGACCAGGUCCUAUCUUCUUCCCUCUUAUUUGAAUUAACAAAUCGUGACAUUUCUCACCCUUGUGUUGAUAUACAAGUUCUAAAGCAUCAGUCCUUGAUUUUAAUUGCAAAAUGAAGAGUGCUUUUCUGUCUUUUUUUUUUCUCUCCAUGUUUGUCGAUAUAAUGUGCUUGGACUCAGAGGAAUGAAAUCCGAUCCUUAGCAACGAAUGCUUUUGCAUUAAUAAUUGUCCUUUUAUCUAUGAUGAUUGAUAACUGUAGGCGGAAGAACUUGCUCUGGAAAUAGGAUUUUGUACUGCCAAACACUAUGAGAUUAGUGGGGGCCUAAUGGGGAAUGUAGUAGCCACGCGCUAGAUGAGGUUGGUUCUCAGUUUUUAACAGCAUGUUUUCAAAGUUUUUGUUUGGGAAGGACAUAUUAUAUAUAGGGGUGGAUGAUUUUUAUGUUUAGAAUGUUUACUGCAACUCAGGCAUUACAAAUGAUAAGCUAAAAGCCACCAACAAUCUGGCUCCAUGGAUGAUGAAUUUCCGUUGUAUUAUUUUUCGACGGGAGCUUCCUGCCCAAGAGCAUCCUUGAUGGAAGAGGAAAUGCAUGUCAACCCCUCAAUCAAGAAGUUUGUAUUCUUACAUGAUUUUUAUUUUCAAAAAGAUCUUAAAACUUGUAAUUCUAGUUUCCUCAGCUAGAUUUGUUUAUUUAAUCCUACAAAAUUUUCUAAAUCAGUCUGUAAAACUUUACACUGUCAUGCACUCUUGUCCAACUCCAUGAUGAUAUAGGAAUUGGCAUUACUGCACUCAAUCUCAUCUUUACAACUGUAUAAUUUAUUGACAACUUCUCAUAUGCCCAUCAUCAUAUUCUUUUUGCAAAUGCUUCUGACACGGUGCUUGAAUUAGUGGAACUGUGGCCUCAGAUGUUUGGCCAGUUUCAAUAAAUAGAAGCAGUAUGAUGCACUGUUCCUUUGUGAAAUAUACCUUUCAUCCGUCUUGAGGUUAUCUUGGGUGGAAGGAACUAUUUUCAAUGGUGGCAAUUGAUGCUGAAGUACCAGAAUUAAGGGGGUAACAUGGGUCCUCGCAUAUGUCAUUGAGUUCCAUGGUCAUUUCGUCUAUGAAAGGGGGAUUAGAGGGCCGAGGGAGAUGUUCCUCAGUUGUUAGCAUUUGUAGAGCCUUUGACAUUGUUGGUCGAAGUGAUGGGAUUUCUUGGGUGCACAGAAGGCCCACAUGCACUGCUCUCUUAACAUCAUUCAUAACAUUGUUAUCAUGGUGGUUAUGCAGCAUCAGAUUUGGGUCAUAAAGCUCCUCCACAGUUUCUGCCUGGAAUUUUUUCCACGUCUGUUUUCUCCAACAAAAGAGAGGAUUUAUGGAUAAGUUAAAAGACCGGCCUUUCUUAAAUACUUUUAAAUUAAAGACAACAAGGAAGUUUUAUGGAAAGCAUCUGAAACUUACUAGUAUGACUAGACUCUCCGUGUAUUCUGAGUUUUUGCUCCUGUUAUUCUGCCUUCCUGUAACAAUCUCCAACAAAAGCACCCCAAAGCCGUAGACAUCUACCUUUUCUGUUAACUGACCAUGGGCUAGGUAUUCCGGAGCCAUGUAACCUCUGCAAAUUAUUUGAAUUCAUUGCUUGUUCGAAUAUUCAAGGACUUUAAUUUGCAUUUAAAGUACUGCAAGAUUUCUGGGCCAGCUAAUUGUCUUUCGAGCACUUUGGAAAUAUCUGAAAGAAAGAUACUUACAAUGUUCCUGCAAUGGCUGUGCUGAUGUGACUCUUAUCAUCUUGGAAAGACCUGGCUAACCCAAAAUCAGCAAUUUUAGCGCGAAGCCUUGAAUCUAACAAGAUAUUGCUGGCCUUUAUAUCUCUGUGAAUGAUUCUGAUACUGGAGUUCAUAUGAAGGUAGGCUAAACCUUCUGCAGUGCCAGUAAUUAUCUCAUAUCUCUUCUCCCAGGUCAGCUCCUUGCCUUUGUUCUGAUCUGCCACAUUUAGAUAUGCAAAACACCAUCAAGUUCCAUUUCAGUCAGCAUUCCAACUCCGACACAGACUUAAAACAGCGACAAUAUCAGCAAUGCAGUAAGGCAAGUAUUCUUUGUUGGUACUCUAUUGAUAGCAUUUUUGCAAUAUCAGAAUUAAGGUUUAAAUGUAGAUUUAUAGCAUUUACCGAAGAUGAAACGAUCGAGACUCCUGUUAGGCAGGAAUUCAUAGACGAGAAGGCUUUCAGGUCCAGAACAACUGCACCCCAACAACCUGACCAGAUUUUUGUGUUCCACACUACUUAUCAUGUUUACUUCAUUGUAGAAAUCCGCAGCUCUAUGUCUGUUGUUAAAGAAGAGCCUCUUCACUGCAAUCUCCCUUCCAUCAGGUAAAGCUCCCUGCAAUGAACAAAUAAAACUUAAGACAAACCCUGGUAUAAUUUAGUUCUUAGAAGAAUUUGAUUGGUACUAACAUAUCAUAAUGAAACUAGUAGAGAACAACCUUGUAAACAGAUCCAAAUCCUCCUUGUCCAAGCUUGUUGGUUUCGUCAAAAGAUCCAGUACCCUUCUCUAGUGUCGAGUACUUGAAGUUCAAGCUACUGUCAUUGAGGGUUCUGGCCAACUUUUGAGCCUCAUUAGAACCUGUAAGAUGAAGACACAAGCAUCCCAGAAGUCAAGGAAAAUGUCAAAGAUAACCAAUACAGUUAUAAGUUGUCAGAUUAUGAGCGUUAUAUAUUUUCCGAAGCAGAUAACACAAGCUAAGGAAGUUUGUUACCUCUUCUUUUCUUCAUUAUAUAUCUGCGUUUCCAUAUAUAAACUCCUAUAGAUACUCCAAGUCCUAAAACCACCAGAGAGCUGAUAACUGAAACAACUAUUAUUACAAUGCUCCCUGCAGUUCAUUCAUCCAGAUGCAUGAAUCACGAGGCCAAGUUUAUUAGUGUAUGAACUUCAAAUAUAUACAUGAACCGCAUUCAGUCAUAGCAACUUUGCAAUACAAGAGAAUGCAAUUCCUUUACCUCUGGAACUUCCAUUCCCAAGUUCGUCGUUGAGAAAAUCUAUAUCCGAGUACCUCAUGAAACACCCAGUAUAUAGUGCUCUGCCCUCCGACCAAGGCAAACAUCCCAAUAUAGAUGCAGUGGCAUUCUCCAAGCAUGCCCUGCAAGAGCUUGCAUUUAAUGUCUUCCAGCAAUUAGCUAACACAUAAGCUGACUCAUUUGUGCCCGGAACUGUGAGCUGUACCCGUGCAUAACCUUGAUUAUUUGAUGCGCUAGUGACUGCUUGUGAGACAGCCUGCCUUGUCGAUUCCGCAAAGGUUGAACUCUUACGCGUUGUAUUUCCACAAACAGCCUUAUCUCCAGGUCCUAGAUAUUCUUCAUAGAAACUAUAAUUCUCAGCUCGCAUGAAGCAACCAUCAAGGUAAAUGCGACCCCCAUUAUAAGGAUAGCAUUGUGGAAGAACCGUACGUGCCUCGGCGUAGCAUAGCACACAGUCAAGUAACGACAGGUCCCCAUAGCAUUGGGCAAGGCCAUAGUUAAUGUCAGGUCCAGAGCCUGAAACUGCAACUCCAAAGCCUGACGCACGCAUCUGGUCACUGAUGUUUCCCAUUGUGGCUACAAAAUUUGGCACGAAGAUAGUUGCGUUGUGCUCCAGUUGGCGUCCACACAUAACUUGGACCGUCUGGGAUCUAGGAUCUCCGACCACCACCCGUUCACGCAACAAAACAUACCCAAAAAAGCAGAAGAAAAUACUUUGGUAAGGGAUCGAUUGGUUUGCUUUUGUCAUCUUUGGCUUCGAUUAUAGGAUUGGCUGUGCAAGGUGGAUCAGGUCGUUAGAAAAUCUCAAGUCAUGACUAAGAUCGAAAAGGGUUAGCACGUCGAGAGUAAUGAAAACACAACAAAGACCAGAACUGUCAAAACUAUGGAUUGAGUAAUCACUCGAGAAAGGGAAAUGGGCUGGGCAUAAAUAAAGCGUGGAGUUGUUGCCGGCUUUUUAUUUGUGGCACACUCGAACAGAUUGCAGAUCAUGGGUUCCUUCAUUUUUCAAGUCAAAAAAAGUAGGUACUCUUUUGGUGCCAAACAGCCCAGAUGGAGUUUCCUGAUUUCACACCUGUUUUUCUUCACCAUUUUCACACGAUAUAUCUCACAAAGAAGGAAACAAGAUGAAAAGAAAAAAACCACCUCGGCCGUGAGUAUGCGUGUUGGGCAAGAUCCAAUGGUACUAGAAACCCGAUGCUCAUCUUGAUUAAAGAAGAAUUUGCCG
RNAcentral lists this long non-coding RNA (6431 nucleotides) under Populus trichocarpa (black cottonwood). Its description in RNAcentral is "long non-coding RNA (PTRI_LNC002453)". The record is from RNAcentral. Lineage: Eukaryota; Viridiplantae; Streptophyta; Magnoliopsida; Malpighiales; Salicaceae.